Long non-coding RNA from Passer domesticus (house sparrow), 1903 nucleotides. RefSeq lists it as uncharacterized. Lineage: Eukaryota; Metazoa; Chordata; Aves; Passeriformes; Passeridae. The transcript is spliced from 4 exons. The record is from RefSeq and is a predicted model, not a curated record.
GAGCAGGACAAUCCCUUCUGUUCCCCCGUGCUGCUGGGCCUGGUGCCACAGGACAGGGAGGUCCCCUCUUGUUGUAAUUGAGACAGUCACACACACCAUUUUCAGAAGGCUUCAAACUGGUUUUAUUCUGGCAUGCAUGCUUUUUAUACAUUCUUACAAAAAUUUACGCUUUACUUAUUGGUCAGGAAAGACAAAGUGCUCAUCGGAACGGGCAGGUGGGGGUUUCUCUUAUUUAUCCUUCUUUAUUCCUUGGUUCCUGUGUCAAUGACCAUUCUUUCAGGAGUGAACAUGGAUCCUCGUAUCAAACUUCUCCUGGCUCACAGAAAUUGCUGUGAGACAUCUUCCACACCCUCUUGCUCCAGGGCACUGCUGAACUCAGAUCCAGCUUUCCUUCAGCCAGGACCCCCAGGUCCCUUUUAGCUGGCACUGCUUUCCAGCCCCUCAUUCCCAGUCCAUCCAUAAAUCCAGGCGUGUCCCCGCUGGGUGCAGAAUCCAGCACUUUUCCUUUUUGAACUUCACCUGGUCGGUGAUUUUUCAUCCCUCUGAUUUGUUGAGGUCUCUCUGCAGGACCUCCCUGCCCUGCAGGGAGCCAACAUCUCCUGCCAGGUUUAUAUCAUCCUCCCUCUUGCCAAAAUCCCCCUGGAAAACUGCUCCCUUUCUCCUUGCUGCCUUGGGAGACUUCCAGGGCGUUGUGCUCCCUGUCACGAUGGACUCGUGAUCAUCCUGGAGCAAAACUCCUCCAGGAUGUUCCCCUUGCACUCCUGUUUUGUGGCUUCCCAAGUUUUCUCUGGAAGAGCAGGAGCAGGAUUAUUUGCAGCCGCGGCAGAAAGGUGCACAGCUGUCAUCUCCCAAGAAAUUACAAUUAUCUCUUCCGUAAUUAGGACAAGUUUGGCUGAGACUCUGAGUCACUGGGAAGUUUAGUUCUGUCGUUUAGCCCAGAAUAGCUCUGUGGUUCCAUAAAUGUUUUCCCUGCAGACUAAACCUUGAAUUUAUGAUGAAGGUUAAAUCACUCCCACUCCUGAAGGAACAGAGGAGGUGGGAGGGUUUUAUUGGGUGGUUUUCCAGGGAUUGGACACGAAAACAUCUGGUAAAUGACCAGGUAAAAGAGAAAUAUGUGUAAAAAAACCCCCAAAAACCAAAAACAACAACAACAACAACAACAACAACAACAACAAAAAACAACCAAAAAAAACACCACCAAACCCAAAACAAAACAAAAAACCUCAUUUUGCAAAAAAUAGUAAAGCGUGGGAUUUUUCAAUUUUUUUAAAAAAUUUCAGUGUGAGCUUCCAAAGCAUAAAUUAAUAAUUAAAUACAUUUAACCUCGGGUGGAUUUUCUUUGGAGUUUUAUUACACAGACCAGAAAUUCCUGCGGAUGACUUGGUGGGAAAACUGGUAACAUACUUAACAUGCCAGGCCGAGGUGCACAGCACUUUAAGCAGAGGGGUAGAACCUUCUCAUUACCUUAACUGAUUAGGAGUGUGAAGUAGAAUCUGCCUUAAUUAGUGACAACAAGCUCUUGACUAGUGGAAAAACACCCCCAAGUAUGGGGUGUGAAGAGCUGUUGUUGUCAGGGAGAAAGAAUCCUCAAUGCCAGAGCUUCAUUUGUGAAGCAUUGCACAGGGAACUGCACUUCUACAAAGUGGUUGUUACAACUUCAGGAAAGUAGAAGGAAUGGGAGUUGCUGCCUCUCCAAAAUUGAGAGCCUCCAAGAAAAUGACAACUGUUUCAGCAGGAAGCCUCAUCUGGUGGAAUCCAGGUUUCCACAGUGAUGAAAUGAUGCUGGAAGUUACAGAUCUGCUGGUUUGGUGCUCUGCCAGGAAAGGGGAGUCCUCAGUUUGUACUCUAGGAUGGAUCCCAAGCUUUAUCUCUGCUUUAUGCCCAUGCACUACAAAAAAAUGCU